AUUGAACGCUGGCGGCAUGCCUUACACAUGCAAGUCGAACGGUAACAGGCCUUCGGUUGCUGACGAGUGGCGAACGGGUGAGUAAUACAUCGGAACGUGCCCGAUCGUGGGGGAUAACGAGGCGAAAGCGUUGCUAAUACCGCAUACGAUCUACGGAUGAAAGCGGGGGAUCUUCGGACCUCGCGCGGACGGAGCGGCCGAUGGCAGAUUAGGUAGUUGGUGGGAUAAAAGCUUACCAAGCCGACGAUCUGUAGCUGGUCUGAGAGGAUGAUCAGCCACACUGGGACUGAGACACGGCCCAGACUCCUACGGGAGGCAGCAGUGGGGAAUUUUGGACAAUGGGCGAAAGCCUGAUCCAGCCAUGCCGCGUGCAGGAUGAAGGCCUUUGGGUUGUAAACUGCUUUUGUACGGAACGAAAAGCCUCUUUCUAAUAAAGAGGGGUCAUGACGGUACCGUAAGAAUAAGCACCGGCUAACUACGUG
Molecule: ribosomal RNA, 482 nt
Filed under: uncultured bacterium
Lineage: Bacteria
Description: partial 16S ribosomal RNA
Rfam family: Bacterial small subunit ribosomal RNA
Source: RNAcentral